Molecule: ribosomal RNA, 253 nt
Filed under: uncultured bacterium
Lineage: Bacteria
Description: partial 16S ribosomal RNA
Rfam family: Bacterial small subunit ribosomal RNA
Source: RNAcentral
GACGAACCGUGCGAACGUUGUUCGGAAUCACUGGGCUUAAAGGGCGCGUAGGCGGGCUCCCAAGUCUGGGGUGAAAUCUUUCGGCUUAACCGGAAAAGUGCCUCGGAUACUGGGAGCCUUGAGGGAGGCAGGGGCGGAUGGAACUUCCGGUGGAGCGGUGAAAUGCGUUGAUAUCGGAAGGAACGCCGGUGGCGAAAGCGGGUCUCUGGGCCGAUACUGACGCUGAGGAGCGAAAGCGUGGGGAGCGAACAGG